RNAcentral lists this ribosomal RNA (442 nucleotides) under uncultured bacterium. RNAcentral's name for it is "partial 16S ribosomal RNA". It matches the Rfam family "Bacterial small subunit ribosomal RNA", at positions 338 to 795 of the family's 1533-position model. The record is from RNAcentral.
CCUACGGGAGGCAGCAGUGGGGAAUAUUGGGCAAUGGGCGCAAGCCUGACCCAGCAACGCCGCGUGAAGGAAGAAGGCGUUCGGGUUGUAAACUUCUUUUAAGAGGGAAGAGCAGAAGACGGUACCUCUUGAAUAAGCCACGGCUAACUACGUGCCAGCAGCCGCGGUAAUACGUAGGUGGGAAGCGUUGUCCGGAUUUACUGGGUGUAAAGGGCGUGCAGCCGGGAAGACAAGUCAGAUGUGAAAUCCCGGGGCUCAACCGCGGAACUGCAGUUGAAACUGUUUUUCUUGAGUACCGGAGAGGUCAUCGGAAUUCCUUGUGUAGCGGUGAAAUGCGUAGAUAUAAGGAAGAACACCAGUGGCGAAGGCGGAUGACUGGACGGCAACUGACGGUGAGGCGCGAAAGCGUGGGGAGCAAACAGGAUUAGAUACCCGUGUAGUC